CUGAUGGAUGGACCCGCGGUGCAUUAGCUAGUUGGUGAGGUAACGGCUCACCAAGGCCACGAUGCAUAGCCGACCUGAGAGGGUGAUCGGCCACAUUGGGACUGAGACACGGCCCAAACUCCUACGGGAGGCAGCAGUAGGGAAUCUUCGGCAAUGGACGAAAGUCUGACCGAGCAACGCCGCGUGAGUGAAGAAGGUUUUCGGAUCGUAAAACUCUGUUGUUAGAGAAGAACAAGGAUGAGAGUAACUGUUCAUCCCUUGACGGUAUCUAACCAGAAAGCCACGGCUAACUACGUGCCAGCAGCCGCGGUAAUACGUAGGUGGCAAGCGUUGUCCGGAUUUAUUGGGCGUAAAGCGAGCGCAGGCGGUUUCUUAAGUCUGAUGUGAAAGCCCCCGGCUCAACCGGGGAGGGUCAUUGGAAACUGGGAGACUUGAGUGCAGAAGAGGAGAGUGGAAUUCCAUGUGUAGCGGUGAAAUGCGUAGAUAUAUGGAGGAACACCAGUGGCGAAGGCGGCUCUCUGGUCUGUAACUGACGCUGAGGCUCGAAAGCGUGGGGAGCAAACAGGAUUAGAUACCCUGGUAGUCCACGCCGUAAACGAUGAGUGCUAAGUGUUGGAGGGUUUCCGCCCUUCAGUGCUGCAGCUAACGCAUUAAGCACUCCGCCUGGGGAGUACGACCGCAAGGUUGAAACUCAAAGGAAUUGACGGGGGCCCGCACAAGCGGUGGAGCAUGUGGUUUAAUUCGAAGCAACGCGAAGAACCUUACCAGGUCUUGACAUCCUUUGACCACUCUAGAGAUAGAGCUUCCCCUUCGGGGGCAAAGUGACAGGUGGUGCAUGGUUGUCGUCAGCUCGUGUCGUGAGAUGUUGGGUUAAGUCCCGCAACGAGCGCAACCCUUAUUGUUAGUUGCCAUCAUUCAGUUGGGCACUCUAGCAAGACUGCCGGUGACAAACCGGAGGAAGGUGGGGAUGACGUCAAAUCAUCAUGCCCCUUAUGACCUGGGCUACACACGUGCUACAAUGGGAAGUACAACGAGUCGCGAAGUCGCGAGGCUAAGCUAAUCUCUUAAAGCUUCUCUCAGUUCGGAUUGCAGGCUGCAACUCGCCUGCAUGAAGCCGGAAUCGCUAGUAAUCGCGGAUCAGCACGCCGCGGUGAAUACGUUCCCGGGCCUUGUACACACCGCCCGUCACACCACGAGAGUUUGUAACACCCGAAGUCGGUGAGGUAACCUUUUGGAGCCAGCCGCCUAAGGUGGGAUAGAUGAUUGGGGUGAAGUCGUAACAAGGUAGCCGUAUCGGAAGGUGCGGCUGGAUCACCU
This 1317-nucleotide ribosomal RNA is filed under the name Enterococcus faecium EnGen0375. RNAcentral describes it as "bacterial SSU rRNA". It matches the Rfam family "Bacterial small subunit ribosomal RNA", at positions 218 to 1528 of the family's 1533-position model. The record is from RNAcentral. Lineage: Bacteria; Bacillati; Bacillota; Bacilli; Lactobacillales; Enterococcaceae.